Long non-coding RNA from Acanthaster planci (crown-of-thorns starfish), 1803 nucleotides. RefSeq lists it as uncharacterized. The record is from RefSeq and is a predicted model, not a curated record. NCBI's taxonomy places the organism in Eukaryota, Metazoa, Echinodermata, Asteroidea, Valvatida, Acanthasteridae.
CAUCUUGUCAGCAAACAACGAACAGUAAAGCACUCCGCUCCUUGUCCAGUAUUUCAGAGCAAAAGACAACGGAAAUUGUUCCUAGUACAUUGUAGCUCUAUAGUUUAGAGGUCCAAAUACCUGCAAGUGGGACUUUCACCAAGCUGCUGUUCUGCAAAGAUUGAAUGUUGGCUUUUUUAGAUACAGAGAUAUCAGGCCGAGUUGUCUACUGGGAAUAGCCAGAAGGGGACUUUUGUGCUUGCCCUUCCCGCUCCCGUGGCAUCUCAACACUUGUAUGCCAGUCACCGCCUGGUCUGGGAUCGUUGAGGAGUACGUUGUCCUCAGCCCCGUUAUCGCCCAGUAUCACCCAAACACCAGCCACUUUGCGGUACCAAACAUGCUAGCCAACUUGUGACACCAAGUGUGCCAGCCAGCCAGCCUGUGACAUCAAGUGCCAGCAAUCUAGUGACACCAAAUCCGCAAGUACCUGUACAAUCCUUUGAACUCUUUUCCACAGAAAAUGCCGAGCUGAAUUCUCGCAAGAACACCACCACCCCACGACAACGGUCCGUUGACGUCGCCAGCUGCAUAUCUACAGAGAACUUUAAUUGUCCUUGAUGAACAUUAGGGCGAUAUAUCUGGGUUUUGUGCUACAGUCAGAUACUGAAAUAUACAUAUGUUUUUCCCACUUUGGUUAUACAGUCAGCGGUGACAUGACAAUACUAUUUUAAUGCGUAAUAUGGUUGCAAUAAAGCAAUUUUCAACUGUGCACAGUAUAACUGAUGUCGACAAUUGAUUUGUUUUCCCGAAAGGAGUUGGUUAUUUAAAUCGGUUCCUGCCAUUUUGGGUGAACCCAGGUUACACAAACAUGAGAACAAGAAGUAUCACGUUGCUUAUACUACCUACAAUGUACAUGUACAGCUGAUGGGUACUAGAUUUACUUGGGCUUACCUUGGACAGUUCUUGUCAACAAAGGUUAGGGUUUAAUUUUUUUGUUUUAUAAUGCUUACUACUCCAGUAAAUUCGUUUUAAAUGAAACGUAUACAUUUUGUGGCCUGCUGUUUCAGUUCACUUUUAACCUAAAGAACACCAAAAAUAAUCUUGGAAAUUGUUACUUCUGUACGUGCACACCAAGUUGCACAAGUCCUCUUGUAUUCUAGAUUUUCGGAAAGUGAGAGGUCAAUUUCCGACAAGAUAUUUCUCUUCCAGUUCAGCCAAUUUAUCAGAGUGCUACAGGCUAGCAAGUAACUUUCAUGUAUGUUCGAUGUUGAUUUUGUUAGAAACAAAUAAACAAAAAUAAUUGCAUAUUCUAAAAUUUUGCAAGUUCAAGUUAAUUUUCCUAUCCAAGGGUUCCGAAAGCGAGCUAUCUGGGUUCAACUUCGAGACUCUGUUGGAAUUCAUAUGAAACUCAACGUGUUUAAACAGUAAAUUUCCAUUUCAUCUGAACGUCUACACAGUUUUCUAUUGUGAGAUCUAGAAUAGUCCAACAAUGCUUUUGCGUCGUGAUGCCCAAAUAGCUGGUUAUCAGCUACGGACUCAAGUGCCAUGAACUGCUUAAAAACACAAGAAGAGAUGGUCCUGAUGACAUACCAUACGCUGUCUUAUUGAAUUUGGAACGUAAUUAAAUAGUGGCGGUCUCUGGUAAUUUAUAACAGCAUCAAUGUUAAACAAGACGGUUUUAAACUCUUUCAAUCAAGGUAAACUGUGAUAUUUUUUUCAAAGUAACUGUCAAGAGAGAUUAUUUAAAUAAUUAAAUAAUUCUAUAUUAUUCGCAAUGUAACACCCUAUUAAAUAAUUAAACACUUUGUUCCAGAUACUUUAGUA